CGGGUGAGUAACACGUGGGUAACCUGCCCAUCAGAAGGGGAUAACACUUGGAAACAGGUGCUAAUACCGUAUAACAAUCGAAACCGCAUGGUUUCGGUUUGAAAGGCGCUUUUGCGUCACUGAUGGAUGGACCCGCGGUGCAUUAGCUAGUUGGUGAGGUAACGGCUCACCAAGGCAACGAUGCAUAGCCGACCUGAGAGGGUGAUCGGCCACAUUGGGACUGAGACACGGCCCAA
Molecule: ribosomal RNA, 236 nt
Filed under: uncultured bacterium
Lineage: Bacteria
Description: partial 16S ribosomal RNA
Rfam family: Bacterial small subunit ribosomal RNA
Source: RNAcentral